UACAGAGGGUGCGAGCGUUAAUCGGAAUUACUGGGCGUAAAGCGUGCGUAGACGGUUAUUUAAGUCGGGUGUGAAAGCCCCGGGCUCAGCCUGGGAAUUGCAUUCGAGACUGAAUAGCUAGGGUACGGUAGAGGGAAGCGGAAUUUCCGGUGUAGCGGUGAAAUGCGUAGAUAUCGGAAGGAACAUCAGUGGCGAAAGCGGCUUCCUGGACCAGUACCGACGUUCAGGCACGAAAGCGUGGGGAGCAAACAGG
RNAcentral lists this ribosomal RNA (253 nucleotides) under uncultured bacterium. Its description in RNAcentral is "partial 16S ribosomal RNA". It matches the Rfam family "Bacterial small subunit ribosomal RNA", at positions 524 to 776 of the family's 1533-position model. The record is from RNAcentral.